CCUACGGUGUGCAGCAGUGAGGAAUAUUGGUCAAUGGACGCAAGUCUGAACCAGCAAUGCCGCGUGCAGGAAGACGGCUCUAUGAGUUGUAAACUGCUUUUGUACGAGGGUAAACGCAGAUACGCGUAUCUGUCUGACAGUAUGGUACGAAUAAGGAUCGGCGAACUUCGUGCCAGCAGCGGCGGUAAUAUGGAGGAUUCAAGCGUUAUCCGGAUUUAUUGGGUUUAAAGGGUGCGUAGGCGGUCGGAUAAGUUAGAGGUGAAAUCCCCAGGCUCAACUUCGGAGUUGCCUCUGAUACUGUUCGGCUAGAGAGUAGAUGCGGGAGGUGGAAUGUAUGGUGUAGCGGUGAAAUGCUUAGAGAUCAUACAGAACACCGGUUGCGAAGGCAGCUUACCAGGCUACUUCUGACGUUGAGGCACGAAAGCGUGGGGAGCAAACAGGAUUAGAUACCCGAGUAGUC
RNAcentral lists this ribosomal RNA (460 nucleotides) under uncultured bacterium. Its description in RNAcentral is "partial 16S ribosomal RNA". It matches the Rfam family "Bacterial small subunit ribosomal RNA", at positions 338 to 795 of the family's 1533-position model. The record is from RNAcentral.